ACCUGCGCGGGCGGCCGCAGGCUCUCUCCGGGACGGGACGGGACGGAAGCCCCAGCCCGCGGGCGGCGGGCGGAGUUAGUUGGAGGCUCCGGUUCCCUGGGCGGGCACAGGCUGAGCACGAGGCCGCCGUGGCUGCCCGGCUCCCUCCUCCCCGGUCACGCUCCGGGCUCCGGGACCUCCCGGUCCCUCCCCCUGGGGCGGCUCCCGGCUGCGCCCCAGCCUCCGCUCCGCCUCCAGCCCUCCCUGCCAGCCCAGCGCCCGGGAAGCGCGUGCCGGGUGUCCGGUGCGAGCCCGAGGGGCUGCGAGUCACCUGAGGAUCCCCCGAGAGCCUGGAGACGGCCAGGCCCGAACGUCUCUGGGGACGCGACGGAGUCCUGGGUCCUUUCAGGCCGGCUCGGUGCGGUGGCCGAGCCAGCUGCGUGGAGAGAGGCGGAGGACGUUGUUCCAGCUGCUCUCUGCCCGGCUCCGGGUUCCAAGGAUGUUUCCUGAGUAAACGGGGACCCCCCCCCCUCCUCUGCGCCCUCCGGGUUGGGGCUCUGCCAGGCCCUGUACACCGGGAGAUAGGACACUUGGAUUCGAACCCGUAGCAGAGGUGUAAUUUCAUUCGAAGUUACCUCCCCAGCCAGGUCCCCGAAUUUGGGCCACACGCUUAGGCUGCAGGCGGCUUUCGGGCCAGUACCCUAAGACCAGAGACUUUCAACUCCUGACUUCUCACCUCCACCUGCUCCUCAAGAUCAGUCAGUUUUGGUGUGCAGAGUCCUGUGCCAGCCACUAAAGUAAGCACACAGGCAGACCUGGUGCUGGAGAAGUUGCUGAGAGUCGAACAUCUUGACCUUCAAUCAACAGGAAGAAAACUGAGACAUGUUUGUAGAAAUCUAUUAAGGCAACAAUAGAGAAAUGCAAUCCAGAAUCUACUAUGAGCACUGUGGUCCAUGCCUCUUCACCUUUGGCUCUCAGCACCUCAUGUGGGAUUAACGUUAACAACAGUGAAAAGACGACCAAAGGAGCAUCUCAAGGACAGAAGUACUGAGCCAUGAGGUUUCUUAUUGUGCAGUUUUACCAGAAGCUUUAAUCUGGUUCUCUCAAAGGCUGCUUUCCACAAGUGUUUCCUCACAAUCUAAACCGGGUUUCAGCUGAGAUACUCAGCCACUUAUUACUGUCUACACAAUAAAUGCAAAUUCUUGGCACUUUUUGAAGAUCCUCAUAUUUACUUUUCUCAAAAGCUCUUUGUGCUAGGUCAGCCAGUUUCUGCAUUGUUGUCUGUUUCUCAUUCUUUAAUCCAUGUAUUCCUCUUUGCCCUUGGGAUUUUGUUACUUAAACUUCCCUGCCUAGAAUCCAUCCCUUGUCUCUCUGCACCUAAAUAGGAGUGGUUCUCCGGAAGUCACAUUGGUACCCACCCUUUCCUGUGGUUCAUACCCUGCUCAUUUCAUGGGCGUGUCUCACAGCUUCCCAGCACCAUCCAUGCCAUUCAUCAUAGGUGACAGCAAGACUGGG
Molecule: long non-coding RNA, 1494 nt
Filed under: Cricetulus griseus (Chinese hamster)
Lineage: Eukaryota; Metazoa; Chordata; Mammalia; Rodentia; Cricetidae
Description: lncRNA (ENSCGRG00015033540.1)
Source: RNAcentral